UGCCGGGUCGUCCAAUGGCAGGACUGCGGCCUUUGACGCCGUCAAUCUUGGUUCGAGUCCAAGCCCGGCAACCA
RNAcentral lists this transfer RNA (74 nucleotides) under bacterium TMED190. Its description in RNAcentral is "tRNA-Gln". It matches the Rfam family "tRNA". Rfam says of the family: Transfer RNA (tRNA) molecules are approximately 80 nucleotides in length. Their secondary structure includes four short double-helical elements and three loops (D, anti-codon, and T loops). The record is from RNAcentral. RNAcentral also lists the same sequence under 1 other name.